GAUGAACGCUGGCGGCGUGCCUAAUACAUGCAAGUCGAGCGAACGGACGAGAAGCUUGCUUUUCUGAUGUUAGCGGCGGACGGGUGAGUAACACGUGGAUAACCUACCUAUAAGACUGGGAUAACUUCGGGAAACCGGAGCUAAUACCGGAUAAUAUUUUGAACCGCAUGGUUCAAAAGUGAAAGACGGUCUUGCUGUCACUUAUAGAUGGAUCCGCGCUGCAUUAGCUAGUUGGUAAGGUAACGGCUUACCAAGGCAACGAUGCAUAGCCGACCUGAGAGGGUGGUCAGCCACACUGGAACUGAGACACGGUCCAGACUCCUACGGGAGGCAGCAGUGGGGAAUCUUCCACAAUGGGCGAAAGCCUGACGGAGCAACGCCACGUGAGUGAUGAAGGUCUUCGGAUCGUAAAACUCUGUUAUUAGGGAAGAACAUAUGUGUAAGUAACUGUGCACAUCUUGACGGUACCUAAUCAGAAAGCCACGGCUAACUACGUG
This 497-nucleotide ribosomal RNA is filed under the name uncultured bacterium. RNAcentral's name for it is "partial 16S ribosomal RNA". It matches the Rfam family "Bacterial small subunit ribosomal RNA", at positions 28 to 507 of the family's 1533-position model. The record is from RNAcentral.